RNAcentral lists this ribosomal RNA (253 nucleotides) under uncultured bacterium. RNAcentral describes it as "partial 16S ribosomal RNA". It matches the Rfam family "Bacterial small subunit ribosomal RNA", at positions 524 to 776 of the family's 1533-position model. The record is from RNAcentral.
AACGUAGGAGGCGAGCGUUAUCCGGAUUUACUGGGCGUAAAGCGCACGCAGGUGGCUGUGUAAGUCGGACAUGAAAGCUCCUGGCUUAACUGGGAGAGGUGGUUCGAAACUGCACAGCUUGAGGUUGGGAGAGGGACGUGGAAUUCCCGGUGUAGUGGUGGAAUGCGUAGAUAUCGGGAGGAACACCAGUGGCGCAAGCGGCGUCCUGGCCCACACCUGACGCUGAGGUGCGAAAGCGUGGGGAGCAAACAGG